GAGAGGUGCUGCAUGGCUGUCGUCAGCUCGUGUUGUGAAAUGUUGGGUUAAGUCUCGCAACGAGCGCAACCCCUAUCGUCUGUUGCCAGCAUUAAGUUGGGCACUCUGACGAGACUGCCUGGGUUAACCAGGAGGAAGGUGGGGAUGACGUCAAGUCCUCAUGGCCCUUAUGUCUAGGGCUACACACGUAAUACAAUGGCGCGUACAGAGGGAAGCGAACUCGCGAGGGGGAGCAAAUCUCAAAAAGCGCGUCUCAGUUCGGAUUGGAGUCUGCAACUCGACUCCAUGAAGUUGGAAUCGCUAGUA
RNAcentral lists this ribosomal RNA (306 nucleotides) under uncultured Peredibacter sp. Its description in RNAcentral is "bacterial SSU rRNA". It matches the Rfam family "Bacterial small subunit ribosomal RNA", at positions 1033 to 1340 of the family's 1533-position model. The record is from RNAcentral. Lineage: Bacteria; Pseudomonadati; Bdellovibrionota; Bacteriovoracia; Bacteriovoracales; Bacteriovoracaceae.